RNAcentral lists this unclassified non-coding RNA (700 nucleotides) under Dolichomitra cymbifolia. RNAcentral's name for it is "sequence contains 18S rRNA gene, ITS1, 5.8S rRNA gene, ITS2, 28S rRNA gene". The stretch from base 278 to 430 matches the Rfam family "5.8S ribosomal RNA". The record is from RNAcentral. Lineage: Eukaryota; Viridiplantae; Streptophyta; Bryopsida; Hypnales; Lembophyllaceae.
GAUCAUUGCACACACAAGUGGCAGCCAACCCGCGGCGAACGAACACAUUGUCCCCCCCGGCGGGUCGUGGCGCCUCGCGGCGUCGCGGCCGGCCAACUCCCUUCGUCGUCACGAGCGAGCUCGCUCGCGCGCGGCGUCGGGUUUCCACGCGAUGCCUUCACCUUGACCGAAUGACUGAGUCCCUUAACACUUAAAGAGGAGCGACGAGUGCCGUCCCCCUUGGCUCGCUUUGGGGGUCGGCGCUGGUUACCUCGCGAGUUGAAACAUAACCAAAAACAACUCUCAGCAACGGAUAUCUUGGCUCUUGCAACGAUGAAGAACGCAGCGAAAUGCGAUACGUAGUGUGAAUUGCAGAAUUCCGCGAAUCAUCGAGUCUUUGAACGCAAGUUGCGCCCGAGGCUUGUCCAAGGGCAUUUCCGCUAGAGCGUCACCGCGCCCCCCACCGAUCCACUCCCGCCGGGAGUCGGGUCGAGUGAAAGUGGCCAUCCCGGUGGGCCUUCCUUUUCGAGGGAAAGGCCUUAAGGGUUGGCUGAAAUGGAGGGAAUCGGGCCGCCGUGGUGACACAGUCCGCGAUCGGGUGAUUUUUGGACUCCCCCGGGAGUCCAGAAUUUUUCUAAGUGCGUGGCUGCGUCGCCCAGUUGGCCUUGGUGUUACCUCAUGCAGGUCGAGCGCGCCCCCGCGGCGCGCGUCACGCAUCAGA